AUUGAACGCUGGCGGCAGGCUUAACACAUGCAAGUCGAGCGAGCGGCGGACGGGUGAGUAAUGUCUGGGAAACUGCCUGAUGGAGGGGGAUAACUACUGGAAACGGUAGCUAAUACCGCAUACCAUCAGAUGUGCCCAGAUGGGAUUAGCUAGUAGGUGGGGUAAUGGCUCACCAAGGAGACGAUCCCUAGCUGGUCUGAGAGGAGGACCGGCAAAACUGGAACUGGGACACGGUCCGGAUCCCUACGGAGGGCGGAAGUGGGGACUAUUGCACAAUGGGGGAAAGCCGGAUGCAUCCAUGCCGCGUGGGUGAGGAGGGCCUUGGGGUUGUAAGGCACUUUCAGCGAGGAGGCGUUACUCGCAGAGAAAGCACCGGCUAACUCCGUGCCAGCAGCCGCGGUAAUUC
Molecule: ribosomal RNA, 406 nt
Filed under: uncultured bacterium
Lineage: Bacteria
Description: partial 16S ribosomal RNA
Rfam family: Bacterial small subunit ribosomal RNA
Source: RNAcentral